This 464-nucleotide ribosomal RNA is filed under the name Magallana bilineata (tropical oyster). Its description in RNAcentral is "partial large subunit ribosomal RNA". It matches the Rfam family "Bacterial large subunit ribosomal RNA", at positions 1858 to 2601 of the family's 2925-position model. The record is from RNAcentral. Lineage: Eukaryota; Metazoa; Mollusca; Bivalvia; Ostreida; Ostreidae.
CCUGCCCAGUGCGAAAUAUUAAUGUAAACGGCCGCCCUAGCGUGAGGGUGCUAAGGUAGCGAAAUUCCUUGCCUUUUGAUUGUAGGCCUGCAUGAAUGGUUUAACGAGGGUUUAGCUGUCUCUAAAUUUUUAAUUGAAAUUGUAUUGAAGGUGAAGAUACCUUCAUUUAAAAGUUAGACAAAAAGACCCCGUGCAACUUUGAAAAUUAACUUUAUUCAGGGGUAAAAGAUUUUUAGGUGGGGCGCCUAGAAAGUAAGCCUAACCUUUCUGAGUAAGAGUUUCUUUCAGGAGUUGACCCGAUUAUAUUCGAUCAUAGGAGAAGUUACGCCGGGGAUAACAGGCUAAUCCUUUAGUAGAGCUCGUAUUGGCUAAAGGGAUUGGCACCUCGAUGUUGAAUCAGGGAUGAUAGCUUCAAGGCGUAGAGGCUUUGAGAGUAGGUCUGUUCGACCUUUAAUACCCUACGU